Pan troglodytes (chimpanzee) is the source of this 1338-nucleotide long non-coding RNA. RefSeq lists it as uncharacterized. The record is from RefSeq and is a predicted model, not a curated record. NCBI's taxonomy places the organism in Eukaryota, Metazoa, Chordata, Mammalia, Primates, Hominidae. The transcript has 5 exons.
UGCCUGCCACUAGCCAUGUAAAAUGUGACUUGCUCCUCCUCACCUUCCAUCAUGAUUGUGAAGCUUCCAUAGCCACACAGAACUAGAACAAUGUCUUGGCCUGCACAGAAUUGAUUUAAUGACCUGACUAUCCUUAAAAUAAGGGGAUGGAUACUUUUGAUUUUUUGGAAGGGGUUAGAAGGCAUCCAUCCUGUGGACAGGGAGGACACACCACCUCCUCUGUGAGACAGCACUGGGGAAACAAUGAGACCUCAGAGGGAAGAUGCCUGGAAGACAUGAAGUAGAGAACCUGUGGAACUGAGAUUUCCAAAAUCAGUUGGCAUUUCCAUUAACAGAAGCAGCAGUCAGCAGUCCUCGAGGAGCUGAGCAAGUUCUGCCAAUGGACCGCUCAUCAUGAAUUGUCAAAGGUGAAGACAGAGAGACACUGAGAGGUAUUAAGGGAUUGAUCCAGCCUCACCAUCAGUGGAGACCAGGUGGGUCCUCCAGAAGUAUUCCAGAAGAAGGCAUUGUUAUCAUAGGAGAUGACAUUUCCAUGGAUGUUACUGCCCUUGAAGACCUUCCAGUGGAAGAAGAUGUGGAAGUGGGAGACAGUGAUAUUGAUGACCCUCACCCUGUGGAAGCCUAGACUAAUGUGUGUCUUUGUGUCUUCAUUUUUAACAAAGAAGUUGAAAAAAUAAAAAUAAAUUUAAGAAUUUAGAAAUUGAAAAAAGCUUAUAGAAUAAGGAUAUAAGGAAAGAAUAUUUUUAUACAGCCAUACAAUAUGUUUGUGUUUAAGCUAAGCUUUAUUGUGAGUCAAAAAAGUUUUAAAAAUUUAAAAGUUUGUGAAAAAGUUAUGGUAAGCUAAGGUUAAUUUCCUAUUGAAAAAAAUAAAUGUAAAUACAUUUAGCGUGGCCUAAGUGUACAAUGUUUAUAAAGUCUACAGUAGUGCACAGUAAUGUCCCACACCUUCACAUUCACUCACCACUCACUCACUCACGGACCCACCCAGAGCAACUCACAGUUCCUGCAAGCUCCAUUCAUGGUAAAUACCCUAUACAGGUGCAACAUUUUUAAGCUUUUAUACUGUAUCUUGUACACAUAUUUUUACUGGAACUUUUGUAUGUUUAGAUACAUAAAUACUUAUCACUGUGUUGUCAUUGCCUAUGGUACUCAGUACAAUAACAUGCUCUACAGGUUUGUAGCCCGGGAGCAAUAUGCUGUACCAUACAGCCCAGGUGUGUAGGGGCUUUACCAUCUAGACCUGUGUAAGUACACUCUAUGAUGUUCACACAAUUACAAAAUUGCCUGAUGAUGCAUUUCUCAGAAUGUAUCCUCAUCAUUAAAUGAUGCAUGACUGUA